UACGUAGGGUGCGAGCGUUAAUCGGAAUUACUGGGCGUAAAGCGUGCGCAGGCGGUUUUGUAAGCCAGAUGUGAAAGCCCCGGGCUUAACCUGGGAAUGGCAUUUGGGACUGCAAGGCUUGAGUGCGGCAGAGGAGACUGGAAUUCCUGGUGUAGCAGUGAAAUGCGUAGAUAUCAGGAGGAAUACCGAUGGCGAAGGCAGGUCUCUGGGCUGACACUGACGCUAAUGCACGAAAGCGUGGGGAGCAAACAGG
RNAcentral lists this ribosomal RNA (253 nucleotides) under uncultured bacterium. RNAcentral's name for it is "partial 16S ribosomal RNA". It matches the Rfam family "Bacterial small subunit ribosomal RNA", at positions 524 to 776 of the family's 1533-position model. The record is from RNAcentral.